CUUUCUUUGCUACCAGUUGACAUUUUGUUCUAAAAUACCACUGGGGAAUUUAGAUUGCCAGUGGAACUAGGUCAACUCAAUGAAAGCUAAUUUAUUGAAUGGCUAAUUGCCAAUUCACCAAAAGUUUCUUUGCUGAAAAUAAAUUUGCUGAAUCAUUAAAUAACUUACUAACCAAUGCACUGAAUACCAUCAACUGUGUUUUGGAUGACUGGCUGCAGACGUUGUGCUAUCAGAGCAAGAAGCACCUGGAGAGGAGACUCAAAAGUAAAGGGAAGACUGUGCAUGAAAGGCAGAGAUACAACUUACAGCACUGCCUCGUGGCCUCUGUGACUGAAUCAGAUGUUGAAUCACUGCGGAAAUACCCCAGGUAUGUUAUAGUUUGAACGAAGCCACUCACGUAUCCAUCUAAUUUCCGGAAGAUCUUGAUUGUGAAGGACUGUUUGUAGAUCCCAUCAGAGGAGCCCAGGAAAGGAAGGCUGGCAUCUUUAAAUUCCGUAAUACUAAGUCCAAGACACUUUUUCUACCUCUACGC
Molecule: long non-coding RNA, 532 nt
Filed under: Felis catus (domestic cat)
Lineage: Eukaryota; Metazoa; Chordata; Mammalia; Carnivora; Felidae
Description: lncRNA (ENSFCAG00000051779.1)
Source: RNAcentral